AGGACGAACGCUGGCGGCGUGCCUAACACAUGCAAGUCGAACGAGGUUAAUCCGGUAGCAAUACUGGUGACUGCCUAGUGGCGAACGGGUGAGUAGCACGUGAGCAACCUGCCCCGAAGACCGGGACAACACCGGGAAACCGGUGCUAAUACCGGAUACCCCCACCUAAUCGCAUGAUCUGGUGAAGAAAUGGAUUCCGCUUCGGGAGGGGCUCGCGGCCUAUCAGCUAGUUGGUGAGGUAACGGCUCACCAAGGCUUCGACGGGUAGCUGGUCUGAGAGGACGAUCAGCCACACUGGGACUGAGACACGGCCCAGACUCCUACGGGAGGCAGCAGUGGGGAAUCUUGCACAAUGGGCGAAAGCCUGAUGCAGCAACGCCGCGUGAGGGACGAAGGCUUUCUGAGUUGUAAACCUCUUUCAGCGAGGGACGAUUGUGACGGUACCUGCAGAAGAACGCCCGGCAACUACGUGCCAGCAGCCGCGGUAA
This 488-nucleotide ribosomal RNA is filed under the name uncultured bacterium. RNAcentral describes it as "SSU rRNA". It matches the Rfam family "Bacterial small subunit ribosomal RNA", at positions 26 to 523 of the family's 1533-position model. The record is from RNAcentral.